GAAAAAAAACUCGUACCCCUAAAAAAACUCGUCUCAGCCCUUUUCCAAAUUGUUCCCCAAAUCGAACAUCACCACGAUCUCCACCGCCGCCGCCGCCAACCACCCAUCGGAGCGUUGGCUUCAUCCCCACCACCGUCGCACCCUAGCACCCUCCUCAGCCGCCGCAUAGCAACCUCCUUAUCCGCCGGCGAGCAACCUUUGUCGCUUCCUCCUCGACCUCCGCCGCACCGAGCGCCGACUUCCUUCCCCGGCCAACCAACGUCGCCGCUCCCAAACACCCUCCGCCGCACCCGCAGCGCUGCCUCCCGGUGCUUUCUCUCUGGGUAGCACCGCGGCCUAGCACCCCGGCCAUCGUCGACUUGCUCACUUCGUCAAGCAGCGCCGCCUCCUGCAGGAGCUCCCCAGCCAGCAGCACCUCCUCCUCCACGAGCCUCCUCUACGAACUAGUCCUGCACCAAAUUGGUUCAUUCAUGCUUGAAGUGAAUACAUGAGGAGCUGAUGUUUACUUGUAUCUCUUGGGAGUCUAUCUGUACCUUUACUUGUUGGAGUCUUGGGGAGCACUCAGUGGUGUGGUUUAUCUUUUGCUUAUGGGUCUGCAACAACUGGUAUUCCUAGAUUUUUAUUUCUUAAAUUAAUAAAAAAAAGCAGCGCUGGAUUCAGCCAGUUCCAUGAUUUUUUUGUACUUUCGUCUGUUCUAAUUUUCUCCAGUAGUUAGGUCUAUGUCAAAAUGUGUCAUUUUAGCUUGGAUGAUAGAAUAUAUAACGUGCAAAAUUAUAGUCACGCUGUUCUACCUUUCUCCUGUAGUUUAGUUACUUUUUUUUGGAAUCUACAGGUGCAAUAAUUUUGCUCUACAAUAAGACUGUCAUUUUCUUGAUGAUAAUUAGAACAUUUUGGAUGCUCGUUGUUUAUUUUUUGCAUCCAAGUUUGGUAGUAGUGUUAGAGUGUGUGGCGUAGUUUCUGAUGUUUUGAGGGUACCCCUAAAGGGGGACUAACCUGAGACAUGUGGUUGUGUUCUAUUAGUUUUCAGUAAUGGAAAUUGGGAGCUAUCCUCCUAAGUAGAAAAAAUGGAAAAAUGGGUCAUGAGUCUAGCGGAGUACCAUGCUCUUUUGUUCUAUAUGUAAUCCUUACAAAAAGUUCUCUAAUUUUCACUUGGUGCUUUCACUGAAAUAAACUUUUUGGAUUGUUUGUUCUGUGAGCAGCGUGCAUCUUCUUUUUCCUCUCCACCAAGAAGUGUCAACUACGCCAUACAACUUGGAGUGAAUCCUAAGUUCAUCGUAGAACCAGCAACAUGAGUACACGACCGCAAGCAAAACUGAGGAGUGGUUACAGGUUGGUCUUUACUUGCAAUCUAAUUUGCAUGUUGGUUGCUGUUCUUCAGGAAUCACGGUACUAAUCUGUGACUAGAUUGGUAAAAGAGGUUGAAAAUGUUUCUGCAAGACUGGUUAAGACAACUUGCUGUAACCAUAUGCGUUGAGCUCACACAGAAGACCUUACAAGCUUUACUCUUUGUGUUUGUUACAUUUUGUAUUGCUCGAAUGUCUAGAAAUUGCAGAUGCUAAAUUAUGAGGAAAUCUUCAUGUGUAAUCAAUUAAUUGCAUACAUUGUAAAAUGUUUGAUGACCAGACUUUUUAAUAUAUAUGUGAAGUGCA
Molecule: long non-coding RNA, 1649 nt
Organism: Triticum urartu
Lineage: Eukaryota; Viridiplantae; Streptophyta; Magnoliopsida; Poales; Poaceae
Source: RefSeq, a predicted model, not a curated record